AACGAACGCUGGCGGCAGGCCUAACACAUGCAAGUCGAGCGAGGACUUCGGUCCUAGCGGCGGACGGGUGAGUAACGCGUGGGAACGUGCCCUUUGCUUCGGAAUAGCCCUGGGAAACUGGGAGUAAUACCGGAUGAGCCCUUUGGGGGAAAGAUUUAUCGGCGAAGGAUCGGCCCGCGUUGGAUUAGGUAGUUGGGGGGGUAAUGGCCUACCAAGCCGACGAUCCAUAGCUGGUUUGAGAGGAUGAUCCGCCACACUGGGACUGAGACACGGCCCAGACUACUACGGGAGGCAGCAGUGGGUAAUCCUAGACAAUGGGGGAAACCCUGAUCGAGCCAUGCCGCGUGAGCGAUGAAGGCCUUAGGGUUGUAAAGCUCUUUCAGCUGGGAAGAUAAUGACGGUACCAGCAGAAGAAGCCCCGGCUAACUCCGUG
Molecule: ribosomal RNA, 433 nt
Filed under: uncultured bacterium
Lineage: Bacteria
Description: partial 16S ribosomal RNA
Rfam family: Bacterial small subunit ribosomal RNA
Source: RNAcentral